This 364-nucleotide long non-coding RNA is filed under the name Elaeis guineensis (African oil palm). Its description in RNAcentral is "long non-coding RNA (EGUI_LNC039926)". The record is from RNAcentral. Lineage: Eukaryota; Viridiplantae; Streptophyta; Magnoliopsida; Arecales; Arecaceae.
UACCUAUAGCGUUAAUCUAAAUUUUCACAAGACAUCUAAGUGUCUGCCCUCCAAUGGUGAUCCACACAAAAAUUAGACCAAAGACAGUGCUCUACCUUCACUUUGCUUCAAGAGUUGUAGCCCCUAGAACUCAACUAGCCCUGUAUCGGUCAGGCUUCUCCAAGAACCUGACUCGACCCUCUUAGAACUUCUUCUAAACUUUUGAAUCUCUUUCUUUAGGACCUUCAUAACACUUUUUUGAAUCAGAUAAGGCUUUGUUUUAAAUCCCAAAGCCUUGUCCUAAAACUAAGAUAGGUUGUAAGAAAGAAGGGAGAGCAAUAGAGAGUACUUGGAAAGCAGAUUUGAAUGCCUCAGAUACCCAAUG